RNAcentral lists this ribosomal RNA (406 nucleotides) under uncultured bacterium. Its description in RNAcentral is "partial 16S ribosomal RNA". It matches the Rfam family "Bacterial small subunit ribosomal RNA", at positions 30 to 526 of the family's 1533-position model. The record is from RNAcentral.
AUUGAACGCUGGCGGCAGGCCUAACACAUGCAAGUCGAACGAGUGGCGGACGGGUGAGUAAUGUCUGGGAAACUGCCUGAUGGAGGGGGAUACCUACUGGAAACGGUAGCUAAUACCGCAUACCAUCAGAUGUGCCCAGAUGGGAUUAGAUAGUAGGUGGGGUAACGGCUCACCUAGGCGACGAUCCCUAGCUGGUCUGAGAGGAUGACCAUCCACACUGGAACUGAGACACGUGCCAGACUCCUACGUGAGGCAGCAGUGAGGAAGAUUGCACAAUGGGCGCAAGCCUGAUGCAGCCAUGCCGCGUGUAUGAAGAAGGCCUUCGGGUUGUAAAGUACUUUCAGCGGGGAUGCGUUACCCGCAGAAGAAGCACCGGCUAACUCCGUGCCAGCAGCCGCGGUAAUUC